GAUGAACGCUGGCGGCGUGCCUAAUACAUGCAAGUCGAGCGAACAGACGAGGAGCUUGCUCCUCUGACGUUAGCGGCGGACGGGUGAGUAACACGUGGAUAACCUACCUAUAAGACUGGGAUAACUUCGGGAAACCGGAGCUAAUACCGGAUAACAUGUUGAACCGCAUGGUUCAACAGUGAAAGACGGUCUUGCUGUCACUUAUAGAUGGAUCCGCGCCGCAUUAGCUAGUUGGUAAGGUAACGGCUUACCAAGGCAACGAUGCGUAGCCGACCUGAGAGGGUGAUCGGCCACACUGGAACUGAGGCCAGGUCCCGACUCCUACGGGAGGCAGCAGUAGGGAAUCUUCCGCAAUGGGCGAAAGCCUGACGGAGCAAAGCCGCGUGAGUGAAGAAGGUCUUCGGAUCGUAAAACUCUGUUAUUAGGGAAGAACAAAUGUGUAAGUAACUAUGCACGUCUUGACGGUACCUAAUCAGAAAGCCACGGCUAACUACGUG
Molecule: ribosomal RNA, 497 nt
Filed under: uncultured bacterium
Lineage: Bacteria
Description: partial 16S ribosomal RNA
Rfam family: Bacterial small subunit ribosomal RNA
Source: RNAcentral